Cyanidioschyzon merolae strain 10D is the source of this 2114-nucleotide RNA transcript. RefSeq lists it as hypothetical. The record is from RefSeq and is a predicted model, not a curated record. NCBI's taxonomy places the organism in Eukaryota, Rhodophyta, Bangiophyceae, Cyanidiales, Cyanidiaceae. The transcript has a single exon.
GCGACGUCGGGGGGCAACGGCAGCAGCGUUGCGUUCACCAAAACCGGUCUAUGUGGCAAGCACGCCUUGACACCGGUGCUCCCUAUUGCAAGGUAUUUGGUUAGCGCCUUGGAGUGUGCGUGCGUGUAGAGACGCAAACCUAAGCCGCGUGGCGGUCGAGCUCGCGAGCGCUCCUCUCCGAGGCUAGUGCUUGGAUGCGUAAGCGUCUGAAUAGCGCCAGCCAAACUCGACAUCAUCGCAGCAGCAGAACGACGAGUGGUAGUAGUGGAAGCGGCGCAUGACACCUGACCCCGAAGCGUCCGCAAGUAGCGCUGGCUUUUCACUGACAGCUCAGCACUGUCUUUCGGCGGUGACGAGUCCUCGAGGAUGGCGUUGCGUUUUCGAGAUUGUGCAAGUGCAGGUAACCUAAGGCGUUGGCUGCUUUCCUAUGGCUCCGGAACCCGCUCCAACACACACACACACACACACCAAUCCAUACGCAUACCGCGGAGUAUGGCCACUCCACGAACACCGUGCUGUUCUGGGGUAUAGGUCACGCGAGCAGGCCAGUCGCUUGAUCUAGCGUGAUGAUCUCGCGUCGUGUCAUGCUCCAGUCACUCGGUCAACUGAGGGGUUACGUGUCUUGUUUACCGUUUCCUCUGCUAAACCGAAAGGCCGCCCCGGCAACACGAAGCGCGUUCUCAACGAAACCCGAAAAGCGAAGCGACGGUGGCAUGCCGACGCCUGCUGCUGGCCGUGCUUCUUCAGAACAGCCAGCAGCCUCCGACUCGUCCAUCGGACUAUCGCUUGUUGGCACCGCAGCCUCGGCACGCGGAAACGUCGGCGAGGAUGCGUCCAGGCAAGUCUGCACUGCUGGUGACUCGUUUCGUUCUCGUACGCUGGAGGGCAUAGGUUGACGCGCUCGGCGACCGCGGCGACGUGGCCUUCUGACGACAACAUCCUCGGUAGUUGCGGAGUUGCCAUGACUAUCAGUAUUCGAUGCUUCCGCGAGCCGCGCUGCAGACACCAGCUCUGCAGCAGCCGAGGCGUCGUGACCUAGUAUGCGCUCGGUAGCAAGAAACGCUGCAAUGGAUCGCCUCAGAAGCUUGAAGAAAACCUCGGUAUGGCCCAGUUUCAUGGACUCUCGCCGCCAAACCAAGUCCGCAAGCGUGCGUAGGUGUUCCAGACUUUGCCGGCAUUGGCGAAGGUUUGCGUAGCAUUCUGCAGCUUCGGAAAGCGGCACAGCGUCAACGCGAGUCGGCAGAAAGCCCAGCUCGAUACUUUGCGGCACGCGCACUGUCAUCCGCGUUCUGUCUGGGGCAUCAUGUACGCUCAGGUGGCGGUGCUGUAACUCGGUCCGCGACGAUCGACCUCGUCGUUGUCGGGGCGGUAUCCCUUCCGGGGCAAUGCCUCCUGAUGUCUUCGUUGACAACAAAAGCGCGUUUCCUGUUUCGGCAAUGACCCGUAGUUGCGUGUGCUUGGGGCACAGGCUUUGGUGCGUAUGCACAUCCAUGAAUAACUGGGCGCGCUGUGCGCACGUAAUAUGGUAUCCAACAUCACAAGACGGGGCAUUACAGCGCAUACAGAGACCUACGCCCCGCUGCUUGCAGACAAUGCAGCGUACUGCCGCAUUCGCUCGAAUGCGUUGUGUUAGACACGGAUCCUCGCUGGCUGCUAACUCUUCGAGCAAUCGCUGUACGCUGGUUGCGACAGUUUCAUCUGCCUUUGGCUUCGCUAGGAGCCAGUACAGGCAUGCAACGUGGGCAAAGCGCGGAUCCUGGUGCUCCCAUCUCGAUGCUUGCGAACGGCGCUGCACUGCGUCGGGGUCGUGCUUCUCUGUCUCUGGAGUAGAGACCGGCAAGCACGGCUUCGACGCACCAGUCACGUGUUCGGGCUCGUUUUCAUGCUCGGUAGUCGAUGAUGCUGUGAGCGGUUUCAGCGCACCGCCACGAUGAGGGCACAGCACACACGGAAAGCCAUAUUUGGCCACGCGCUCGAGAAAGCGUGCUCGCUUCCUCGCUUCCAUCAAGCUGUACGUGAUCAAUUUGGAUUCGCUGGUAACAGGACGGCUUUAGUUGUACCAGACACGUUCUUGGAUCCUACCCCUCCUCCUCUUCAAAACGUAAAGUUUUUUU